AGAGUUUGAUCCUGGCUCAGAUUGAACGCUAGCGGGAUGCUUUACACAUGCAAGUCGAACGGCAGCACGAGAGAGCUUGCUCUCUUGGUGGCGAGUGGCGGACGGGUGAGUAAUAUAUCGGAACGUGCCCAGUAGCGGGGGAUAACUACUCGAAAGAGUGGCUAAUACCGCAUACGCCCUACGGGGGAAAGGGGGGGAUCGCAAGACCUCUCACUAUUGGAGCGGCCGAUAUCGGAUUAGCUAGUUGGUGGGGUAAAGGCUCACCAAGGCAACGAUCCGUAGCUGGUUUGAGAGGACGACCAGCCACACUGGGACUGAGACACGGCCCAGACUCCUACGGGAGGCAGCAGUGGGGAAUUUUGGACAAUGGGGGAAACCCUGAUCCAGCCAUCCCGCGUGUAUGAUGAAGGCCUUCGGGUUGUAAAGUACUUUUGGCAGAGAAGAAAAGGCAUCCCCUAAUACGGGAUGCUGCUGACGGUAUCUGCAGAAUAAGCACCGGCUAACUACGUGCCAGCAGCCGCGGUAAUACGUAGGGUGCAAGCGUUAAUCGGAAUUACUGGGCGUAAAGCGUGUGUAGGCGGUUCGGAAAGAAAGAUGUGAAAUCCCAGGGCUCAACCUUGGAACUGCAUUUUUAACUGCCGAGCUAGAGUAUGUCAGAGGGGGGUGGAAUUCCACGUGUAGCAGUGAAAUGCGUAGAUAUGUGGAGGAAUACCGAUGGCGAAGGCAGCCCCCUGGGAUAAUACUGACGCUCAGACACGAAAGCGUGGGAGCAAACAGGAUUAGAUACCCUGGUAGUCCACGCCCUAAACGAUGUCAACUAGCUGUUGGGGCCGUUAGGCCUUAGUAGCGCAGCUAACGCGUGAAGUUGACCGCCUGGGGAGUACGGUCGCAAGAUUAAAACUCAAAGGAAUUGACGGGGACCCGCACAAGCGGUGGAUGAUGUGGAUUAAUUCGAUGCAACGCGAAAAACCUUACCUACCCUUGACAUGUCUGGAAUGCCGAAGAGAUUUGGCAGUGCUCGCAAGAGAACCGGAACACAGGUGCUGCAUGGCUGUCGUCAGCUCGUGUCGUGAGAUGUUGGGUUAAGUCCCGCAACGAGCGCAACCCUUGUCAUUAGUUGCUACGCAAGAGCACUCUAAUGAGACUGCCGGUGACAAACCGGAGGAAGGUGGGGAUGACGUCAAGUCCUCAUGGCCCUUAUGGGUAGGGCUUCACACGUCAUACAAUGGUCGGGACAGAGGGUCGCCAACCCGCGAGGGGGAGCCAAUCUCAGAAACCCGAUCGUAGUCCGGAUCGCAGUCUGCAACUCGACUGCGUGAAGUCGGAAUCGCUAGUAAUCGCGGAUCAGAAUGUCGCGGUGAAUACGUUCCCGGGUCUUGCACUCACCGCCCGUCA
RNAcentral lists this ribosomal RNA (1395 nucleotides) under uncultured bacterium. Its description in RNAcentral is "16S ribosomal RNA". It matches the Rfam family "Bacterial small subunit ribosomal RNA". The record is from RNAcentral.